This 495-nucleotide ribosomal RNA is filed under the name uncultured bacterium. Its description in RNAcentral is "partial 16S ribosomal RNA". It matches the Rfam family "Bacterial small subunit ribosomal RNA", at positions 28 to 507 of the family's 1533-position model. The record is from RNAcentral.
GACGAACGCUGGCGGCGUGCCUAAUACAUGCAAGUAGAACGCUGAAGGAGGAGCUUGCUUCUCUGGAUGAGUUGCGAACGGGUGAGUAACGCGUAGGUAACCUGCCUGGUAGCGGGGGAUAACUAUUGGAAACGAUAGCUAAUACCGCAUAAGAGUAGAUGUUGCAUGACAUUUGCUUAAAAGGUGCAAUUGCAUCACUACCAGAUGGACCUGCGUUGUAUUAGCUAGUUGGUGGGGUAACGGCUCACCAAGGCGACGAUACAUAGCCGACCUGAGAGGGUGAUCGGCCACACUGGGACUGAGACACGGCCCAGACGCCUACGGGAGGCAGCAGUAGGGAAUCGUCGGCAAUGGACGGAAGUCUGACCGAGCAACGCCGCGUGAGUGAAGAAGGUUUUCGGAUCGUAAAGCUCUGUUGUAAGAGAAGAACGAGUGUGAGAGUGGAAAGUUCACACUGUGACGGUAUCUUACCAGAAAGGGACGGCUAACUACGUG